This 460-nucleotide ribosomal RNA is filed under the name uncultured bacterium. Its description in RNAcentral is "partial 16S ribosomal RNA". It matches the Rfam family "Bacterial small subunit ribosomal RNA", at positions 338 to 795 of the family's 1533-position model. The record is from RNAcentral.
CCUACGGGUGGCAGCAGUGAGGAAUAUUGGUCAAUGGGCGGAAGCCUGAACCAGCCAAGUAGCGUGCAGGAUGACGGCCCUACGGGUUGUAAACUGCUUUUAUACGGGAAUAACGCGCCUUACGUGUAGGGCUUUGCAUGUAACGUAUGAAUAAGGACCGGCUAAUUCCGUGCCCGCAGCCGCGGUAAUACGGAAGGUCCGGGCGUUAACCGGAUUUAUUGGGUUUAAAGGGAGCGUAGGCCGGAUGUCAAGCGUGCUGUGAAAUGUCCGGGCUCAACCCGGGGCUUGCAGCGAGAACUGGCGUGCUUGAGUCCGCGGAAAGCAGGCGGAAUUCGGGGUGUAGCGGUGAAAUGCGUAGAUAUGACGAAGAACACAGAUGGCGAAGGCAGGUUGCUGCAGCUGAACUGACGCUGAUGCUCGAAAGCGCGGGUAGCGAAAAGGAUUAGAUACCCGUGUAGUC